GUUUGUUAUUUUUUUCCCUGUGAUUUGGUGAGUAAAUCUGACUUAACAUAGAAUAAGGGUUAACUUUAUGCAGUCAUUUAGCCAGAAUUACUGUCUUUUUUUUUAAUAAGGCAAUGAGUGAAAUCUAUUUUCUUCCAAAGCAUUUAAAACAUCGGAAAGUAAUAUAAAGGCCAAAUCCUUUCAAAUCUCAAAUCAGAUGUAAAAACUAACAUCUUAAGUGUUUCUGUCUCUCUCAAAAUUGCUAAGUUGGAAGACCUCAGUACAAAAGUAAUGCUUUUCAGAAGAGUGGAUAAAACAGAUGAACUGGAAGUGGAUGAAAUAGGUGAAUUUUCAAAAGACCCUUCACAAGCCUCCCUUUUGGUUGCAUUUUACAAUAUCCAAGACACCAUGAUGGAGAAUGUGCUCUCCUUGCUUAUGGAGUCGAUUAGUGGCCUGUCAGAAGCCAAUGGUGACUUCAGGGUGGAAGUAAUACCCAAUAUUAAAGUUGCUGUCAUGACUUUUCUCCAAAAAUACUGAUGUCAGGACAUCUGUUAUGUUUUUGUCGGACACAAUAGAGUUCAGCAACUUCAGAUUUUCCCAAGACUUCUGGAACUGACAAGAACCAUCAGUGUUGAAAAUCUGCCACCUCGUGUUGAUAAGAGUUAUGUAACAACUUUCUUUGAGAACCCCACAAAUGGAAGAGAAGGAGUAACCAAUGUGCAGCUUUUCCCAGAGAAGAGUUCAGCCCUGGUUGAGUUUUCUGACUACAAAGUGGUGGAUGCCUACUUGGCCCAAGAGCCUGUCUUCAGUGAAAGACCCAUCUCUGUGUUUCCAUAUUACGUGACUUCGGCAUUGCCUUGUAUGGAAAGGAGAAGCCCCUGAGAAAGUUGCCAGCACCAUUUCUGGUGACUCUGGAUCCUCUCAUAUGGAAGAUCUUGCAGAAGAAGCAUCACCUGAUUGAAAUGAUAAAUUAUAAAAGGGGAAUAUGUCACUGUGAGGUAACAUGGCCCGAGUCAGCUGUAAGGGGCUAGAGGUAACAUUCAAAUCCAUGGCCACUGAACUCAAGGAAGAACAAAGAUCAAUGUCAUCAAAACCUGGAAUGAGGACAUUUCUAAAAACUUCUGCCUAUCAUUUCUAAAUAUCAAGUCACCAAAUUGAAUGUGAAGCCAACGGAUGGGAAGACAUAAAAAACAGCAUAAAGGAUGAUAAGAUUUUGAUUGAGUCUGAUAUAUUCAAGAAGAUAGUCAUAAUAACAGGUUGUUUGGAGGAUGUGAAUAGAACUUACUACAAUUAAAGACACCAACCAUAACAUUGAAAAGGAAAAAAAAAUUUUACAGAGAAUGUGGCUGGUUCUUCUAGAUUUUCUAUUCUUCACAUCAAUGCUUUGAAAAAGUCUAUACCCCAAGGAAUUCUCAGGGUUGGAGGCCAUUAAUAAUGCUUGCACCAAACAUACCAGAGUACAUGCAGGAGAGUAUAAAGAAUGAAAUUCCUGAGCAAGG
Molecule: long non-coding RNA, 1478 nt
Organism: Leptonychotes weddellii (Weddell seal)
Lineage: Eukaryota; Metazoa; Chordata; Mammalia; Carnivora; Phocidae
Source: RefSeq, a predicted model, not a curated record